GCAUCCAUGGCUGUUUGGUAAAAGCACCCAACUCAUAAUUGGAUUGAUGUAGGUUCGAUUCCUUCUGGAUGCU
Molecule: transfer RNA, 73 nt
Filed under: Hydnora abyssinica
Lineage: Eukaryota; Viridiplantae; Streptophyta; Magnoliopsida; Piperales; Hydnoraceae
Also listed under: 1 other name
Description: tRNA-Ile
Rfam family: tRNA
About the family: Transfer RNA (tRNA) molecules are approximately 80 nucleotides in length. Their secondary structure includes four short double-helical elements and three loops (D, anti-codon, and T loops).
Source: RNAcentral